This 305-nucleotide ribosomal RNA is filed under the name uncultured bacterium. RNAcentral describes it as "bacterial SSU rRNA". It matches the Rfam family "Bacterial small subunit ribosomal RNA", at positions 335 to 638 of the family's 1533-position model. The record is from RNAcentral.
UCUCCUACGGGACGCAGCAGUGAGGAAUAUUGGUCAAUGGGAGAGAUCCUGAACCAGCCAAGCCGCGUGAGGGAAGACGGCCCUAUGGGUUGUAAACCUCUUUUGUCGGAGAACAAAACCCGGGACGUGUCCCGGACUGCGUGUAUCCGAAGAAAAAGCAUCGGCUAACUCCGUGCCAGCAGCCGCGGUAAUACGGAGGAUGCGAGCGUUAUCCGGAUUUAUUGGGUUUAAAGGGUGCGUAGGCGGUCCGUUAAGUCAGCGGUAAAAUUGCGGGGCUCAACCCCGUACUGCCGUUGAAACUGCAU